Molecule: ribosomal RNA, 315 nt
Filed under: uncultured bacterium
Lineage: Bacteria
Description: bacterial SSU rRNA
Rfam family: Bacterial small subunit ribosomal RNA
Source: RNAcentral
GAUGAACGCUAGCGGCAGGCUUAAUACAUGCAAGUCGUGGGGCAGCAUGAGUAGCAAUACUUGAUGGCGACCGGCAAACGGGUGAGGAACACGUACACAACCUUCCUUCAAGCGGGGAAUAGCCCAGAGAAAUUUGGAUUAAAUACCCCCAUAAAUAUAUUUGAUAAGGCAUCUUAUUAAAUAUUAAAGCUUCGGGCACUUGAUGAUGGGUGUGCGGCUGAUUAGAUAGUUGGCGGGUAACGGCCCACCAAGUCUACGAUCAGUAGCUGAUGUGAGAGCAUGAUCAGCCACACGGGCACUGAGACACGGGCCCGA